RNAcentral lists this ribosomal RNA (1525 nucleotides) under uncultured Bordetella sp. Its description in RNAcentral is "partial 16S-23S ribosomal RNA intergenic spacer". It matches the Rfam family "Bacterial small subunit ribosomal RNA". Lineage: Bacteria; Pseudomonadati; Pseudomonadota; Betaproteobacteria; Burkholderiales; Alcaligenaceae. The record is from RNAcentral.
AUCAUCUGCCUACCACGCUGGUUUUGGUUCGUAUUGCUAGUAGCAGAGAGUUCGAUCAUGGCUCAGAUUGAACGCUGGCGGGAUGCUUUACAUGCAAGUCGAACGGCAGCACGGACUUCCGGUCUGGUGGCGAGUGGCGAACGGGUGAGUAAUGUAUCCGGAACGUGCUAGUAGCGGGGGAUAACUUCUGCCAGCGUAGCUAAUACGCAUACGCCCUUCGGGGAAAGCGGGGGACCUUCGGGCCUCGCACUAUUAGAGCGGCCGAUAUCGGAUUAAUAGUUGGUGGGGUAACAGCUCCGCCAAGGCGACGAUCCGUAGCUGGUUUGAGAGGACGACCAGCCACACUGGGACUGAGACACGGCCCAGACUCCUACGGGAGCAGCAGUGGGGAAUUUUGGACAAUGGGGAGACCCUGAUCCAGCCAUCCCGCGUGUGCGAUGAAGGCCUUCGGGUUGUAAAGCACUUUUGGCAGGAAAGAAACGGCACGGGAUAGUACCCCGUGCAACUGACGGUACCUGCAGAAUAAGCACCGGCUAACUGCGUGCAGCAGCCGCGGUAAUACGUAGGGUGCAAGCGUUAAUCAGAUACUGGGCGUAAAGCGUGCGCGGUGGUUCGGAAGAAAGAUGUAGAAAUCCCAGAGCUUAACUUUGGAACUGCAUUUUUAACUACCGAGCUAGAGUGUGUCAGAGGAGGUGGAAUUCCGCGUGUAGCAGUGAAAUGCGUAGAUAUGCGGAGGAACACCGAUGGCGAAGGCAGCCUCCUGGGAUAACACUGACGCUCAUGCACGAAAGCGUGGGGAGCAAACAGGGAUUAGAAUCCUGGUAGUCCACGCCUAAACGAUGUCAGCUAGCUGUUGGGGCCUUCGGGCCUUGGUAGCGCAACUAACGCGUGAAGUUGACCGCCUGGGGGAAAUACGGUCGCAAGAUUAAAACUCAAAGGAAUUAACGGGGACCCGCACAAGCGGUGGAUGAUGUGGAUUAAUUCGAUGCAACGCGAAAAACCUUACCUACCCGCCAGCAUGUGUCUGGAAUCCCGAAAAGCCCCAGGAGUGCUCGCAACAAGAGGCCGGAACACAGGUGCUGCAUGGCUGUCGUCAGCUCGUGUCGUGAGAUGUUGGGUUAAGUCCCGCAACGAGCGCAACCCUUGUCCGUGCUGGUUGCUACGAAAGGGCACUCUAAUGAGACCGCCGGUGACAAACCGGAGGAAGGUGGGGAUGACGUCAAGUCCUCAUGGCCCUUAUAGGUGGGGCUUCACGUCAUACAAUGGUCGGGACAGAGGGUCGCCAACCCCGCGAGAGGCCAAUCGAGGAAACCCGAUCGUAGUCGGAUCACCAGUCUGCAACUCGACUGCGUGAAGUCGGAAUCGCUAGUAAUCGCGGAUCAGCAUGUCGCGGUGAAUACGUUCCCGGGUCUUGUACACCGCCCGUCACACCAUGGGAGUGGGUUUUACCAGAAGUAGUUAGCUAAUACCGUAAGGGCGAUUACCACGGUAGGAUUCAUGACUGGGUGAAGUCGUAACAAGGUAG